CAGAGAGGAGGCAGUGACAUUAGAAAAUGAAGCUUCCAGGCAUGAGUUCCCUGGCUCUGGGUUGCAUGGACCCCACACAGUGGGUCUGAGCCAGGUUGGGAGAUCAGUUAGACCGUCCUAGGUCCUAGGUGGGACCGUGGUUCUGUCUUUGUACUUUGUACAAGUUAUCUCUCCACUUCCAAUUGAUUUCCUUAUCUACCCAAUAGCCUUCCCUCCACCUCCCAGCAGGCCAAGGACAACCUGGCACAGGAAGUAAUCAUAAUUAGCAGCACUUAAUAUGAUAACACAUGCUUCCCGGUUCUAGCUUCCUCACCAAGCUGCUCAAAGACUGAAGAAACACUUUGUUUUAUUUUAUUUUUAUUUUUUAUUUUUUUGCGGAACCGGGGAUUGAACUCAGGCCCUUACACUUGCCAGGGAAGCGCUUAUUCCACUGAGCCAUCUCCCUGGCCCUGAAGAAACACUCUGAUAUUUACCUGAAUCAGGUGAUAUUUACCUGAAGCAGGUGAAUGAAGUCAGGAAAAAAACCCCACAUGUCCUCUUGUCACUGUGUCACCUCCCCACACUGAGCCCCAUUUAUGCAGUGCCUUACCUUCAGCCCACUGCAAUGUCCCUGCAAAGCCAUCUGCCCUGUGUACUCCUCCCCUGCAGGUCCCACCACACCUGCACACGUGGGUAGGAACUUAGCUGGCCAGCACUGUCACCUACCCCUGGAAGCCCCCAAGCUCACAGCCAUGCCUCAGCAUCUCUGAAUAGCGGAACAUCUGGAAUGAGGCCACCCCACACCUGCCUGACUUCUGCAGCUGCUGAACUUGACAGAAAAACCUCACGGGAUGGUUCAAGGGACCCAGUGGAUGCCGCUCCCUAAAGAGUCAGUGACAGCGAACCAGACCACACAGCUGCCCCAACAGCCAGCAGAGCCAGCAGCAUGGCUACCUGCAUCCUAUCUGAAUGAGCUAUCUCCA
Long non-coding RNA from Octodon degus (degu), 962 nucleotides. RefSeq lists it as uncharacterized. The record is from RefSeq and is a predicted model, not a curated record. Lineage: Eukaryota; Metazoa; Chordata; Mammalia; Rodentia; Octodontidae. The transcript is spliced from 3 exons.